Molecule: ribosomal RNA, 247 nt
Filed under: uncultured bacterium
Lineage: Bacteria
Description: partial small subunit ribosomal RNA
Rfam family: Bacterial small subunit ribosomal RNA
Source: RNAcentral
AGAAUCAACGCUGGCGGCGUGCCUAACACAUGCAAGUCGAACGAGAAAGUGGUAGCAAUACCAUGAGUAAAGUGGCGCACGGGUGAGUAACACGUGACUAACCUACCCUCGAGUGGGGGAUAACUGAGGGAAACCUUAGCUAAUACCGCAUAAUACCCACGGGUCAAAGGAGCAAUUCGCUCGAGGAGGGGGUCGCGGCCGAUUAGUUAGUUGGCGGGGUAAUGGCCCACCAAGACGAUGAUCGGUA